RNAcentral lists this ribosomal RNA (941 nucleotides) under uncultured bacterium. RNAcentral describes it as "bacterial SSU rRNA". It matches the Rfam family "Bacterial small subunit ribosomal RNA", at positions 8 to 963 of the family's 1533-position model. The record is from RNAcentral.
AGAGUUUGAUCAUGGCUCAGAGCGAACGCUGGCGGCGUGCUUAACACAUGCAAGUCGAACGGUUGUAGCAAUACAACCGUGGCGAACGGGUGCGUAACACGUGGAUAACCUUCCUUCAGGUGGGGAAUAACCCAGUGAAAAUUGGGCUAAUACCGCAUAACAAGACGAGAGCACAUGCUUUUGUCUUCAAAGGCGCAAGUCGCCAGAAGAGGGAUCCGCGGCCGAUUAGCUAGUUGGCGGGGUAACGGCCCACCAAGGCAAUGAUCGGUAGCCGGAUUGAGAGGUUGGCCGGCCACACUGGAACUGAGACACGGUCCAGACUCCUACGGGAGGCAGCAGUGGGGAAUCUUGCACAAUGGACGAAAGUCUGAUGCAGCAACGCCGCGUGGGGGAUGAAGCUUCUCGGAGUGUAAACCCCUUUCGACCCGGAAGAAAGCCCGCAAGGGUUUGACGGUACGGGUAUAAGAAGCCCCGGCUAACUACGUGCCAGCAGCCGCGGUAAUACGUAGGGGGCCAGCGUUGCUCGGAAUUACUGGGCGUAAAGGGUCCGUAGGCGGUGUGGCAAGUCGGGAGUGAAAUCUCUGGGCUUAACCCAGAGGCUGCUUCCGAAACUGCCGUGCUAGGGUGUGAGAGAGGCGAGUGGAAUUGCGGGUGUAGCGGUGAAAUGCGUAGAUAUCCGCAGGAACAUCCGAGGCGAAAGCGGCUCGCUGGAUCACAACUGACGCUGAGGGACGAAAGCUGGGGGAGCAAACAGGAUUAGAUACCCUGGUAGUCCUAGCCCUAAACCAUCAGGACUUGGGGUUUGCCCUGUACGGGGCAAGUCCCGUAGCUAACGCGUUAAGUCCUGCGCCUGGGGAGUACGGUCGCAAGACUGAAACUCAAAGGAAUUGACGGGGGCCCGCACAGCGGUGGAACAUGUGGUUCAAUUCGACGCAACGCCG